RNAcentral lists this long non-coding RNA (1253 nucleotides) under Homo sapiens (human). RNAcentral's name for it is "HSALNT0246992". Lineage: Eukaryota; Metazoa; Chordata; Mammalia; Primates; Hominidae. The record is from RNAcentral.
UCUAAAGAUGAUGCAGGAGCCAGAACUAGGGGCUGGAUAAUGGAGAAGCUUGCAUGCUAAACUUAUUACGAACUUUAUUUUGAAAGUAGUGGAACGUUAUUGGACCACUUCAAAAGCGGAGUGUUACGUUCAGGCUUGAAUUUUAGAAAUAUCUGUCUGGUAGCCAUGUGCAGGUUGGUUGGAAAGGGAGGCAUCAGACAGGAGACGAAUGAGAAAGCUGUUGCAGUCAUCUGGGACCCCUAUUUGUGACCAAUUGUAAGAUCAUCUGAAGAUCGAGUCCGAUUGCCUGGCCAGGCCGGGCUGGGUGGUAUGUGCCCCCGUCACGCCGGAGGUUCCUGCUUUAGCGACGCCAAAGAUUGGGUGUGAGGGCAGCCCGCGGUGACAGAGACACGGAUCGGACCGAGAGAAAAAGGCUGUGGGCUUCACUGAGCAGAGUGACGUCAAUUCACAGGACCUCCACAGUGUGCCUUUUGCUGGGUAGGAAAAUGCCAGCCAGCUUGGAAAACAAGAAGACACAUUUAUGUCUACCAUGAGCAUUGGCAUCAGCCAAUUAUCCCACACGUUUUCGGCUAGUCAGUGCUGAAGAGAGCAAGAAUUUCAACCCUUCUUGCUACAUUCAAGACAUAGAAAUCCAGCCAGAAGACAACUCGAGAUAUUUUGUGGAUCUAUGCCUUUCCUUCAGAAAAGCAAAUAUCUACCAUAAAAAAACACUGGUCCAAUAUUCACUUCUAUAAGAAAUGCAGGGGCAAAUAAAUUAUGGAUUUUAUUAUCGCUAAUAGAGUCACUUAACCAUUACUCCUUACUACAUUCUGCUUUUCUAACAAAAUUUCGACUGAAUAUUCUCCCUCAGAGCCUCCAAAAGGAACCAACUGAUGACAACUGAUUUUGGACUUCUGGCCUCCUGAACUAUAACAAAAUAAACAUCUGUUGUUUUAAGCAAGCCAGGUUGUGAUUGUUACAGAAGCUCUAGGAAACUAAAAUACUUAAUAUCUAAGUAUCUUAAAACUAAGAUACCUUCUUAUACCUUCUUAUCAUGCGAUCAUAGAAAAUAUGUCCAAUUAGUCACAAGUGGGAUUGGGCAAGAGAAGAUGGAUAAGGGGUGUAAAUCCUUCACCACAAUUAAGAAAUUAUACGUAGAAAUUGCAUUCUAUUGGUGAAGCAAUAAAAUCAUUGUUGGGAAUAAGAACAGCAUUACAGUGUGGUGGCUCAAACCUGUACUCCCAGCAAUUUGGGAGGCUGAGGCAGGCGAUUCA